CAAAAAGUAGUUUACAGAAAAUAGUAGUUUUGGAUACUACAGAGAGAUAUUUUCUUUUUGA
RNAcentral lists this transfer RNA (61 nucleotides) under Gammarus pulex. RNAcentral describes it as "tRNA-Pro". The record is from RNAcentral. Lineage: Eukaryota; Metazoa; Arthropoda; Malacostraca; Amphipoda; Gammaridae.